UACAGAGGUCCCAAGCGUUGUUCGGAUUCACUGGGCGUAAAGGGUGCGUAGGUGGCCAGGUAAGUUUGAUGUGAAAUCCCCAGGCUUAACCUGGGAACUGCAUCCGAUACUGGUUGGCUUGAAUCCGGGAGAGGGAUGCGGAAUUCCAGGUGUAGCGGUGAAAUGCGUAGAUAUCUGGAGGAACACCGGUGGCGAAGGCGGCAUCCUGGACCGGCAUUGACGCUGAGUGAGCGAAAGCCAGGGGAGCAAACGGG
This 254-nucleotide ribosomal RNA is filed under the name uncultured bacterium. Its description in RNAcentral is "partial 16S ribosomal RNA". It matches the Rfam family "Bacterial small subunit ribosomal RNA", at positions 524 to 776 of the family's 1533-position model. The record is from RNAcentral.